AGUGAACGCUGGCGGUAGGUCUAACACAUGCAAGUCGAACGGCAGCACAGUAAGAGCUUGCUCUUACGGGUGGCGAGUGGCGGACGGGUGAGGAAUACAUCGGAAUCUACUUUUUCGUGGGGGAUAACGUAGGGAAACUUACGCUAAUACCGCAUACGACCUACGGGUGAAAGCAGGGGAUCUUCGGACCUUGCGCGAUUGAAUGAGCCGAUGUCGGAUUAGCUAGUUGGCGGGGUAAAGGCCCACCAAGGCGACGAUCCGUAGCUGGUCUGAGAGGAUGAUCAGCCACACAGGAACUGAGACACGGUACAGACUCCUACGGGAGGCAGCAGUGGGGAAUAUUGGACAAUGGGAGCAAGCCUGAUCCAGCCAUACCGCGUGGGUGAAGAAGGCCUUCGGGUUGUAAAGCCCUUUUGUUGGGAAAGAAAAGCAGCAGGUUAAUACCCCGCUGUUCUGACGGUACCCAAAGAAUAAGCACCGGCUAACUUCGUG
This 492-nucleotide ribosomal RNA is filed under the name uncultured bacterium. RNAcentral's name for it is "partial 16S ribosomal RNA". It matches the Rfam family "Bacterial small subunit ribosomal RNA", at positions 29 to 507 of the family's 1533-position model. The record is from RNAcentral.